This 547-nucleotide long non-coding RNA is filed under the name Helianthus annuus (common sunflower). RNAcentral describes it as "hypothetical non coding rna". The record is from RNAcentral. Lineage: Eukaryota; Viridiplantae; Streptophyta; Magnoliopsida; Asterales; Asteraceae.
UGGUUCCAUCUCUCUGUUGAUGUAUAUUAUGUUUUCAAUUUCAAACAAUAGCUAAUGAUUCUAUGAUGAUUCUUCGACUGCCUUGCUGCUCCUCCGAAGAUCUCCAAUCUCUUCCAGGUUAGUAAACUACAAAAGGAAAAAGAAUCAGAGAUGUAGAGAUGUGUUGUUGAUCUACAAUAUCAGAGUGGAAUCAAAAUCCUCAUCUUCAUCUUCAUCUUCCGACUUGAUACAGAGCCGGUGUGGGAUCUGAGUUUGUUCUUCAUCUAGGGUUUUGAUGAUGAGAGCAAUUGUGUGAUGAGCUUGCCUUGCUCUCAAGAAAUCGGGUUCCGUUGCGAGCGGAGAGACAACUGCUUUGUUGUUGUUUAGACUCAACCAGAAGAGAACCGUCAUUGGAGCUGUGACAGUGGCGUACGAAUGGGGAUUCAAGUCAGCGAUGGUGGUUGUGGCUUUGAGUAGAGGUUCGACUAUUCAUCAGCAAGUUAUUAAAGAAUUUUCAUGGUCAUUUUGUUUGGUGAGAUGUGCAAGUUAUAAGAUGUGCAGGUAUUAG